AGUGAACGCUGGCGGCAGGCCUAACACAUGCCAGUCGAACGGCAGCACAAGAGAGCUUGCUCUCUGGGUGGCGAGUGGCGGACGGGUGAGGAAUGCAUCGGAAUCUGCCCAUUUGUGGGGGAUAACCUCGGGAAACCGGGACUAAUACCGCAUACGACCUACGGGUGAAAGCAGGGGAUCUUCGUACCUUGCGCAGUUGGAUGAGCCGAUGCCGGAUGAGCUAGUUGGAGGGGUAAAGGCCCACCAAGGCGACGAGCCGUAGCUGGUCUGAGAGGAUGAUCAGCCAGACUGGGACUGAGACACGGCCCAGACUCCUGCGGGAGGCAGCAGUGGGGAAUAUUGGACAAUGGGCGAAAGCCUGAUCCAGCCAUGCCGCGUGUGUGAAGAAGGCCUUCGGGUUGUAAAGCACUUUUGUUGGGAAAGAAAAGCAGCCGGUUAAUACCCGGUUGUCAUGACGGUACCCAAAGAAUAAGCACCGGCUAACUUCGUG
This 490-nucleotide ribosomal RNA is filed under the name uncultured bacterium. RNAcentral's name for it is "partial 16S ribosomal RNA". It matches the Rfam family "Bacterial small subunit ribosomal RNA", at positions 29 to 507 of the family's 1533-position model. The record is from RNAcentral.